CACCCGCCCCGCCCCCGUCCGAAGGGCCGGAAGAAAAGGAUGCGAACAGAGGUCGUCAGUGUGUUCCUUGACUCGGCUCACAAUGGCGGCAGUGUGAGCUGCGGCGCGAUGAUGGACGGACGGAAUUAAACAAACAAAAGGUCGACAGGAAGUGAAGUGAUUUAGUUGAUAGGAUUUUGGUGGUGGGGGGCGUGUGUGUGGGGGGGAGGGGAGUACGGUGGAUCGUGUCUCUUCUCAAUGGUCAGGAGGACAGGAAGUGGUGCUGAGGAGACGCUGGGGGACAGGAAGUGGUGCUGAGGAGAUGCUGGAGGACAGGAAGUGGUGCUGAGGAGACGCUGGGGGACAGGAAGUGGUGCUGAGGAGACGCUGGGGGACAGGAAGUGGUGCUGAGGAGACCGGAAGUGGUGCUGAGGAGAGGCUGGGGGACAGGAAGUGGUGCUGAGGAGACGCUGGGGGACAGGAAGUGGUGCUGAGGAGACGCUGGGGACGGCCCCCUCCCCCUCAGCCCAGUCUGGGGAGGCUGCCCGGUCCCUCUGAAUGCAGCCUGGGAGCAGCGCUGCCAGCUGGCCAUGACUUACUGAAUGACAUGAUAAAUUAAACCUGAGAUUCUUAUCGAGUUUAUUAAAACAGGGUUUCAGAUCCAGAUGAAACAUGAAGGUCAGAGGUCACAGUUAAUUGAUAAAGUCUGAUAUUCAAAAUAUUGUAUUUAUUUAGCUUCUGUGGAAUCUAGUUGAGCAUGGUUGAAAAAAGGGACAAAAUAUACAAUUUACAAUAUUUACAAUAAUACACAAUAAUUUACAAUAUAAAAUUUCGCGUUGUGUGUUGGUGAAUAUUGGGCUUUAUUUUUCUUUAUCUAUUCUUUUUAUAAUUAAGUGAACCAUAAGGAAAUAGGGUUAAGCUUAUUGACUUAAAUUAGAAUAAAUAAAAUAAUGUGCAUACUGUUGGGACCUUAGUAUUAUGAGGUGUAUAAGAACUAUUCUUACAUAUAAAACAACAUCGUUCUGGCUAUAAAGCCAGUGAGUCUCUCACAAAGACGCCCAAAAUGUCUCCUCCUCAUCCUGGAGGAGAAAAAUGGCCAAAUAAAAAAAGCUUUUAUUUCAGUCAAGCUUCACAGUAAAAGAGGUUUAAGUAAAUUGUUCUUCAUUUUAAGCUCAAAGAUCGAAGCAACGUGGUUUUGAAGUUGUGAUUAAAUCAGGUUUCGAAGCGAUUCGUUGUCGGUGGAACUCAGCGUCAGACAGGAAGUUCAGGGACGCCACACGAAACGCGUGACAUAGUUAAUCACAUCUUCAGCAUUUUUCAAUUCAGGGAAACACAAUCAGACGAAAGCUUCACACUGCGCCAGUGUGCGUCUGGCCCACUACCCUGCGGGUAGAGGUUUGUUCAUUUGACGGUACAAACCGCUCGCCUCUCCUCACGCGGCCUCGCGAUCAGACCCUCGGGCUCACGGGACGGAAGGCCGUCUGUCCCAGCGACAGCGCAACAGGCCUCCGCGGCUUCCAGAGAAGCCCGCCGCUCAGUGGGCGUGUGACUUAAGAUGGCCGCCUCGCUGCGAGGGUUUAAGAGAGGCCACCGACCCGCCCCCCCUCACCCCCCUCACCCCAUCUCGCUGUUGUCUGGUCCUAUAUGAUGAAAAUGAAAUACAAUGAGUCCUACAGGGCUCCAUUCUCGGGAAUUAGGAAUCAGGAACAUUUAUUACCAAAAUAUGUCGGACAUACAAGGAAUUUGGUUUGGCGGUUGGUGCGUGACGUCAGACCGUAAGUCAAUGGGCAACAAGACGGAUGAGCAACAUGGUGCAAGAGUCUUCUGUUCAGAAUCUUCGAAAUCUUAGAAUCUUGAUUAUUACAUCAUUGUUUUUUUCCUCCACCUUUACAUGACUUGGAAUAACUACUGAAACCUUAAUAAUAAAAAGAAAGGAGUAAAAUGUUGUGAUAUGAUGUUUUUAAGAAGUAUUUUCCAUGUGUCACAUGCUGGUUGUGCAAAACAAAUUACCUCUUCACAAUUUAAGCUCAUUAAGUUUUAUUUUCGUUGACAAUUCAAAAGCAUGCUAAUUAGCAGUCAUUUCUGGCCUCUGUGUAUAAAUUAGCACAUUUCUGUGUGUGGCCUUCAGAUGUUGGGUCUCUCCGUGUCAUUCUGUCACAUUGCCCAGAAAGAUUGCUUUGUUUCACCUAAUUUGGUGGAAUAAUCAUUAAUUAAAAUGGAAUGUGUGCCACCCGUGUCUGUCAACUGUGGAGAAAAUAAUAUUAAUAAUCUGCCACCUAAAUCUUCGUUCCACAAACCUCUGAUAGCUAAUUAGAAAGUGGACACAAUAUCUUAUUCUGAUGGCGCUUUAAAAACGUUUCAGCCAUCUUCUCCUUAACGAGGAAAAUGGCUUCUCGAACAGAGACGACUUUGUCAGUUCGGUACAAAGAGGGAAAUUAAUUAAGUAAUUAAGAAUUAAGAAAUAAAGACUUACAAAUAAGAGAGUCCACAAACAGGAGGGUACAAAAGGACCCUUCUGCAGGUCAUGGGUGGAAAAAAACUGAAUCAGACAAACUAAUCAGAGAACAAGAGACAGGUGAGCUGAAAGCUGAUUGGUGGAUGAAACAAAGGGAGUAGAGCAGAGAUUAUGAGGCUGAAUACACGCAGGUCUAUCCAUCCAUCUUCAAAGCCGCUUAUCCUUCAUCCAGGGUUGAGAGGGGCUGGAGUCAAUCCCAGCUAGCUGUGCGAGAGACGGGGUCCGGCCUGGACGGGUCGCCAGCCAAUCGCAGCGCUACACAGAGACGAACAACCAUUCACCCAAUCCGACACGCAGGUGAUGCACAGAGAACAGGGGGGAAGAAACACAAAGACAGGAGGUCAAACACAGGACACACAGGACGGUGAACUUCAAGAUAAAACGGGAAACAACCCAUGGAUUAGAACUGUGAGAACUCGCCCCCCGGUGGUCAUUAGAGAGAAUGCAGCUUUAACACACAGCUUUGACUUCACUUUUGAGAACCGGAUCUGGUUCAAACUAAAUAAUAAUAAUAAUGAGUCAUUUCCCUUUGGUCUGAAUGUAUUAACUGUUUAGUAUUUGCUUUUAGAAAAGUCUUAUUGGUUCUCUUAGCACACAGUCGUCUGAGACAACUAGUGGAUCCUAUGACGAGAGGAUUGAUGGGCGGGAAAAGAGCAACAGGAUAUGAAAGGGCUGAGAAUAGGAGAGAGGGUGAGAGAGGCUUUGGGGGGGAGAGUGUGGCAUUUAGAGGGGAGAGGGGGUUUGGGGAGUCAGGCUGCCGUCUGGCCUAAUGCACCCGUGCUGUGAUUGGCUGGGAGCGCCGGCCUGCAUACCUGAUACCGGGCUCUGCUCUAAUCGUCCUUUUCCUGUUGCCCGGGCUCGGACAACGCUCCUUUCUCCUUUUAUCUCGCCCGCUCAGCUCUCUGCUCAGAUCAGGUUGCUAAAAGAAAAACCGCCGCCCGCCACAAAAUCUCUGUUUCUUUGACUCCCCCCCCGUCCCUCCCCAUCACCCCACCCUCCUCUCCCUUGCAGCUCUCUUUUUCCUCCACCAGUCUUGACUGUCACUCUUUCCUCCACAGACACAAGAUCAUAGAACACAUGAGAGAAACAGGGGAGGCAGACGGAGAACAAAAAGAGUUUGAACAGUAUGGUUUUGUUUUGCUAAAUGUUUUUGAUUUUGUUCUCUCUCGUCUCAUUGGCAAAUGUUAGCUAAGCUGACAUGCUAAGCUAGUCAGCUAAAUGUCUGUCAAGAAUACUCGGCUAAAACUAGAGGCCGUCAUGUGAUGAGAUCAAACCAGCAAGGAAGCUGAAUUUAGACUGGUGCGUGAGUGUUUCGGGGGGGUAUUCUGUACCAAGCGUGGUUGACUGAAGGGCGGAUGGGUUUGCUUUGUUACCACAGCAACCCAUGAUGAUUGGUUGGUGAUUUCUGGACAUUAAAAAAAACUUCUGAUCACAAGCAAAUACCAAAAUGAAAAGGUCUGUUCUCAGAAACUCGUCGGAUUUGCUUGUCUUAGACUAAAAGCACUUGGUUGGAUUUGGGGAAAGGUUGUGUUCGGGGUCCAUUGAAACUAACAUCGUCUGUUUGAGCGAUAAUCUCCGGUAUCAUGCGGACUUUACUUAUUGUGUCAGGUUUAGAAAGCACGUGACUCGAAAACACACAAAUCAGUGUCUGUCAAAGAGUCACUGAACAGAACUCGUCCAGUCAUGAAUGAAAAGAACUACACAGAGGAGGUGUAACACUAUCAGAGUCGCAUGUGGGGCCCCACAGGGCUCAAUCAUGGGUUCACUGAUUAUCCCGGGUUCAAUGUUCCCCCGAGGUGCUACAAAAUACCACCUGAACACCCAACAACCGCAUUCUAUCUUCAGCCUGUUUUUCUGUUGAACCUCUGAUUUUGGUAUUCUGUCCCAUCCCAUCCUAUAUUGUCCCAUCCUGUCUCCCGUGCUGAAGCAGAGUGUCGCGGGGGCCAGGUGUUGCUGUAUGUGGAUUCUCAGUGUCACUGUGCACCGUGGGAGGACAAAGACAGUAUUGAGGAGGCCGGCGUGGAGCAGAGAGCAGCACAGGAUACUCUUACAGACUCGCCAGUGUUUGUGCCAAGUCCUCCCUUCAUACACACAACAGACACUGUGUUCAGUUUCUCCCCACUACCGGCUUUGUCCUGUCAGACUCUCGUUUUCUCCCUCCCACUCCCUCCUAUCCUUCUUUUUACUUUUUUUUUAUGUGUGUUCAGAGCAGGUUGGCUCGCAUUGGAGUCGGCAUCUGAGGGUGUAGUUGAGAGGCCCAGAUGGCAGAAGGUCUACGAACACUCGGGCAAGAGACUGUUCUCUCGACCUCUGGGACACAAAGUCCACGAACUUGAAAGAAGCUCAGUCGGGUUGCACUUCUAACAAAGGGCAACAAGUAAUGGUCGAGGAACUUGACUCACUUAUACUUAAGUCGCAUAUUUGUUGCCUUUUCUUUUUGGGAAAACAGGUUCCUGGACAUCCUUGAAAAGACCAGAUCCCGUUACGGAUCGCACUGCAGGGGGAAAGUAUCUCAUUUGUGCCGAUACCCAACGUGUCAAAGAAAGGAAACGAUGAUGCAGGUGAAGGAGGACAUCUGAAGAUAAGCUUUCAAAGUAUGAGGAAGCCUUCUGCUGUCAUGGUUACGGAUUCCUCAGGGGGCUCCGGCUCGCUGCCACGACAAACUUAACACAGCAUCUCAACCAUCACAGACAGGCAAUUAGUGUUUGCCUUUCAUGACCGUGCGCGCUCUCAAGAAGCUAAAAAAGCUGGAGACAGCGAUGGUAAUUGACUGAGUUUCGCAGAAUGGUCCAAUAACAACGUUCCUGUCUCGACACAGGGGUCGGAGUUGAAGGGGUGGGGGUGAAAUGUUUGACAAUAAUGUACUUGGUGGUACUUGGUGAUAAAGCAUCCUUUGUGAAAGGUCUCAUAAAGAACAUCUUUCCAAUGGACAGUUUGACCACGUUGUCUUUUCACAGGAAAACCUUCAGUUUUUUGCAUCCUAAUUCAACCAGAUUAAAAUACAUUUAUAAAUGUGUAUAUAUAUAUAUAUGUAUAUAUAGUCCCAGAAGGAAAAGGAAAUGUAGCACAAACUCCUAGAAUACGGGGCUUAAACAUCUGCCCGUGUGUCUCCAACGAGAGAAACUUGCACCUUUGGAGACGUUGGAUUGGUGGUCAGGUCUUGUCCCCACAACGACUGACCAUGUGUGCAAAGACAGUCUGAUCCAGGGUGGACAUCAGGACUUCCUCCAUGUCUCCAAAGAGUGUGAUCUGGCUUUUGUAUGUAAACAGAGAAAGAUGUCACCCACGUGAUAAUGAGAACCUCACCCCGAGGAACAGAAGAAGAAGGAAAAAUCGUGGUGUCAUCAGAAAGCAGAGGUGGUGCUCGCUCUGAUUCUGGGGGAGAAGCGUUUUAAUGAGCCCCUAUCAGGCUCUUUGGUUUCUUUCCACCUCGGCCUCGAAGCAAGGGGUGCCACGACACCCUGGUGUCCGAGUGGGGGGGGGGUACCGGAUAACUCUC
Gasterosteus aculeatus aculeatus (three-spined stickleback) is the source of this 5993-nucleotide long non-coding RNA. The record is from Ensembl. Lineage: Eukaryota; Metazoa; Chordata; Actinopteri; Perciformes; Gasterosteidae.